Molecule: ribosomal RNA, 429 nt
Filed under: uncultured bacterium
Lineage: Bacteria
Description: bacterial SSU rRNA
Rfam family: Bacterial small subunit ribosomal RNA
Source: RNAcentral
UAGGGAAUAUUGCGCAAUGGGCGAAAGCCUGACGCAGCGACGCCGCGUGAGUGAUGAAGGCCUUCGGGUCGUAAAGCUCUGUUGUACGGGAAGAAGGUUACAUACCUAAUACGUAUGUAAUUUGACGGUACCGUAUAAGAAAGGACCGGCUAACUUCGUGCCAGCAGCCGCGGUAAGACGAGGGGUCCUAGCGUUGUUCGGAAUCACUGGGCGUAAAGCGUUCGUAGGCGGCUCUAUAAGUCGGGUGUGAAAUCCCACGGCUCAACCGUGGAAGUGCAUUCGAAACUGCAGAGCUUGAAUAUGGUAGAGGGUAGUAGAAUUCCUGGUGUAGUGGUGAAAUACGUAGAUAUCAGGAGGAAUACCGGUGGCGAAGGCGGCUACCUGGACCAAUAUUGACGCUGAGGAACGAAAGUGCGGGGAUCAAACAGG